Non-coding RNA from Schizosaccharomyces pombe (fission yeast), 758 nucleotides. Lineage: Eukaryota; Fungi; Ascomycota; Schizosaccharomycetes; Schizosaccharomycetales; Schizosaccharomycetaceae. The record is from the annotation of a GenBank genome assembly.
AUGCGUAGUAUCAAAUUCCAAUGGCGCACCAUCAUUACUUGUUGUACCGUCACUGAGGGCUGGAGAAUGUUUUUUGGGGCUAUGUUUCGCAUCUUCUGACGCAUCGUCCUCUUCGUUACCUUUAAUUGGAGCUAAAGUUGGAAGGGAAAAUAUUUUUGUCAGUUCCUCGGCUUUAUCUGGAAACAUAACUCGCUUUGUUUGACGAGAUCGAAUCUCAGCUUGGCUCAGCGCCAUCGGGGGAGAGGGAGAACCGGAGGAGCUAUCGACUGCCUCACUAGACAAAACGCUUUGAAGAUUGCGAUUCAAUUUUUCAGAACUCCUUAAUUUUUCAUUCGAUAAAAAGCUAUCAUCACUGGGACGCUGACUUAGGUCGGGUGUGUUAACUUGGGAGGACCGAUCUUUCCUUUGUGCCAAUUCACGUUCCGCCUUCUUUUUAAACGCUCUCUUUUUCAACAUCUCCAGCAAGUCAUCACGAAUAGUGGCCCUAAUUUCCUCUUGAGCUCCUUCAAUUUCCAGAUCAUUCAUCCUUUCCAAACGAACGCGAUUUUCCUCAUCAAUACCUUGAUCAUCCAAAUUCCCUUUUCCUUCCAAACCCGGAGAUUCCUUAUUCUUUCGAAGCAUCUUCUCCUUAUAAGCACUCAUUGAUUUCGAUUCUCGUUUCGGCAAUGUUCGUGAAACGGCUGGAAAUCCCCUAGCAUGCCGCUGAACUGACCUCUUCACUUCAACAAGUUGCUUCGGCGGUUUUUCAACAAUAUCAC